AUCUAGGAGCGUGCCUCAGAAUGCAAGUCGAACGAUUAAGACUUCCUUCGGGAAGUGCAUAAAGUGGCGCACGGGUGAGUAACACGUAAGUAAUCUACCCUCGAGUGGGGAAUAACGUUCGGAAACGGACGCUAAUACCGCAUAACGCAGCGGCACCGCAAGGUGACAGUUGUUAAAGGAGCAAUCCGCUUGAGGAGGAGCUUGCGGCAGAUUAGCUAGUUGGUAGGGUAAUGGUUUACCAAGGCUACGAUCUGUAUCCGGUCUAAGAGGACGGUCGGACACACUGACACUGAAUAACGGGUCAGACUCCUACGGGAGGCAGCAGUCGGGAAUUUUGGGCAAUGGGCGAAAGCCUGACCCAGCAACGCCGCGUGAAGGAUGAAGUAUUUCGGUAUGUAAACUUCGAAAGAAUAGGAAGAAUAAAUGACGGUACUAUUUAUAAGCUCCGGCUAACUACGUGCCAGCAGCCGCGGUAAUACGUAGGGAGCAAGCGUUGUUCGGAUUUACUGGGCGUAAAGGGCGCGUAGGCGGCGCGGUAAGUCACUUGUGAAAUCUCUGAGCUUAACUCAGAACGGCCAAGUGAUACUGCAGUGCUAGAGUGCAGAAAGGGCAAUCGGAAUUCUUGGUGUAGCGGUGAAAUGCGUAGAUAUCAGGAGGAACACCUGAGGCGAAGGCGGGUUGCUAGGCUGACACUGACGCUGAGGCGCGAAAGCCAGGGGAGCAAACGGGAUUAGAUACCCCGGUAGUCCUGGCCCUAAACGAUGAAUACUUGGUGUCUGGAGUUUCAAUACUCCGGGUGCCGUCG
Molecule: ribosomal RNA, 805 nt
Filed under: uncultured bacterium
Lineage: Bacteria
Description: bacterial SSU rRNA
Rfam family: Bacterial small subunit ribosomal RNA
Source: RNAcentral